Molecule: long non-coding RNA, 2376 nt
Filed under: Sparus aurata (gilthead seabream)
Lineage: Eukaryota; Metazoa; Chordata; Actinopteri; Spariformes; Sparidae
Description: lncRNA (ENSSAUG00010013601.1)
Source: RNAcentral
AUGUCACUCCCAACAGAGAAGACAGACAAGCAUACAGACACGCCAUGUAGGUCCAGCUCACGUGAGAGAAAACUAACAGAGAAAAGCCAAGAGAUGCAUGACCAAGACAUCAAAAAACGUGAGAAAGCAUUUAUCAAGGCCUAUGACUCUUGGAAGCUGGCAGCAAGGGAGACGAAGACAACAUUGAAAACCCUCUGCUCAUUGGAAGACCUUGAUAAACUCAAGCAAGAUAUUGAAGCAAAGUUUGACACUGUAAGCAUACAAUAUGAACCUAUUCUUCGUAACAGUAACACCACACCAGAGAUCGUUAAGAAAAUGGAUGCCUGUGUUACACUAACCAAAGACAUUUGUGACCUCAUAAGUCAACGUCUAGAGGCUAUUGGUAAAGAUUAUAAUGACCAACUUGAGAAGGAAAGGGUGAGAGCAACAUUUAACAAAGAUGAAUAUGGGUCUGUCUUUGGCCACACCAAAACUGAAACUGUAAGCUCAUCAGAGUCAUCGGAGAGAUUGAGCAACCACUCCAGCUCAGCCUGUACCCACAGCAGUAGAGUAGAUGCACAAGCAGAGCUUGCUGCUAAGCUGGAACAAUCAAAAGCCAUGAAAGAAAUUCAAGCACAGCAAGCACAUCUUCACAAAUUAGAGAGUGAAUGGAAACUUAGAGAGGCAAAAAUGGUGUCAGAAAUUAAACAGAAGGAGGUGGAAAUGCAACAACAGUUGGAACAAGAGAGAGCAAAAUUGCAGCAGUUACAAGCAGCAAAAGAUGUCGCUAUAGCAGCAGCUCGUGUGAAAGCAUAUGACGAUUUUGAAGGUUUUGAUAAUUGUGAGGAGACUAAUGACAAAACUAACUGUGCUUGCUACAGAAUGGAAACUAAACCUCGAUUGAAUCCAGAUGCUGCAUCAUUCCAACCUCACCGAGCAGCUCCUGAAGUGACAAUGACCCAGGAGUCUGUCAGUCUAGCCCAAGCAAUCGCCAGCUCAUUAAGCAUGAACCGCUUGCCGAUCCCUGAACCAACCAUGUUCAGUGGUGACCCUUUAAGUUUUACAGAUUGGAAGAUGUCAUUCAUGGCUCUUGUUGACAAAAAACCCCUCCCACCAAGUGAGAAGCUGUUCUAUCUCAAAAAUUAUCUUGCUGGAGAGGUGCGCAAAGCUGUAGAAGGUUUCUUCUAUCGAGACUCAGAGAACGCAUACAAUGGAGCAUGGAAAGUCUUACAGGACAGAUAUGGGAACCCAUUCAUCAUACAAAAGGCUUUCCGAGACAAGCUCAUGAGAUGGCCAAAGAUCAACUCAAACGACCCACUGGCGCUACGAGAGUUUGCAGACUUCCUCCAAGGCUGCCCUGAGGCGAUCCGACAUGUCAAAGGACCAGCUAUUCUUAAUGAUUGUGAGGAAAACCACAAGUUGCUCAAAAAACUACCAGAGUGGAUCGUACGCAGGUGGAGUCGAAUUGUUGUAGAGGAACUUGACACAACUGGAAGCUAUCCAGAUCUUGCAUGCUUUAGAGAAUUCCUGAGCAAAGAAGCACGGAUAGCUUGUAAUCCUAUUGCUUCUCCACUUUUGAUGAAUUUCAAGCCUACUGAUGAAAGGUCACCAAAAAGAGCUAAAGCUCUCAACACAAAUACACAAACAAAGAGUUUCGCUCAGGAGAAACAAGAAACAAACGGCAGUAAACCAAAAUCACCUUGCUCCGUCUGUAAAAGUGAAGCUCAUAGCAUCGCCAAAUGUCCCACCUUUGCAGCGAAAAGUGUUGAAGAUAAAAAGGCAUUUAUCCAUGAAAAUCGGCUGUGCUUUGGGUGCCUAAAAAGGGGUCACAUGACCAAAGAUUGCAAGAGACGUCACACAUGCAACACAUGCAGCCGUCGUCACCCAACCUGCUUGCAUGAAGACAGGAAACAAAGACCUGUGGAAGCAACAACGAAUAGCUCCACUUCCACAGAAGAACAUGCAAGCCAGGAAACGCACAAGGUCGUAUCCCAUACAUCAACACAACGUUCUUCUGCUACCUCAAGUAUCGUCCCAGUCCUUGUGUCUUCAGUACGAGAGCCACACAGAGAAGUACUUACAUAUGCAAUACUGGACACCCAGAGUGACUCCACGUUUGUCUUAGAAGAUGUACUUAACAAACAGAGCGUUGACGCCCAACCAGUAAAACUGAAACUUAGUACUAUGACGGCUAUUGAUACAAUAUUAUCUAGCAAGAACGUCCAUGGUCUACAAGUUCGAGGACUGCACUCUAAGAACUACAUUCAACUACAGCAGGCCUACAGCCGCGACUUUAUCCCAGUGGACUUAGUCUUACGUCCCAACGAAGGAAACGGCAUUACUGUGGCCUCAUCUCAGACACUUGGCAGAAAAGUUACCACCCCUUCAAGACUGUGA